UUGACCUCGGAUCAGGAGGGAUACC
RNAcentral lists this ribosomal RNA (25 nucleotides) under Epicoccum sorghinum. RNAcentral describes it as "partial 28S ribosomal RNA". Lineage: Eukaryota; Fungi; Ascomycota; Dothideomycetes; Pleosporales; Didymellaceae. The record is from RNAcentral.